This 361-nucleotide long non-coding RNA is filed under the name Homo sapiens (human). RNAcentral's name for it is "non-protein coding lnc-LHB-1:3". Lineage: Eukaryota; Metazoa; Chordata; Mammalia; Primates; Hominidae. The record is from RNAcentral.
AGGCCAGGCCAGAAGGACCAGGGACUACAAACUCACCUUCAGGGCUCCUAAGCUGCUGCGGAGCUAGACGGCGGGCUGUGGGUGGGGAGGAGACUAGAAUAUUCUGAGACGGGGUCAGGUGGGAGUUGGGAGAGGUAACUUGGAGUUGCUGCCCAAGAUGCAGCUCAGCUCCAGUGGCCACACCAAGACGGUUUAAGACAGAGCGGAACCAGGGAGGUUGUUUUUGGUGGCUGGGGGCUUGGGUUUGAGUUCCUUGAACAGCAGAAGGUGCUUGGAUUUAGGGAGGUGAGGCUGGGAAGGGUUCGGGUAUGAGAAAGGAAGCUGAAGUUCCCUGGCGUGGGUGGCAGGAAGGGCUCUAACC